AACCAUAUUCGUCUCUCUGUGAAAAUUUUCUCUUCAUCUCUCACACACUUAAAUUAGGGUUUUGAAGCCUUUACGUAGUACCGGCAGUGCUCUGCUUCGUCUUCGAUCCUAGUUUUCCAGUGUCGGCGAAUCCUUCCCAAAGUCUCUCUACAAUUGUUCAAUUCGUUGGGCGCUUAGGGUGCAUACCUCAAGCUCUGGUGCUCGUUUCAAUUCAAGUAGCGGUUCCGAACUGAAUUGGAGCUGCUCCGGUGAUUUCAGCAAUGGCGCCUAGCCGGAGGAGUGGAGCUAGCAAAGCCACUCAGGCCGCCGCUGCUUGAGCCGAAGCAAGAAUAACAACGCGAGGAUAUCGAGGAUGAAGAAGACAUGAUUGAUAAGUGGAUGUUGCUGCUUUAGCGCAGUUUUGUGUUUGGAUCUAAGAGCAAAUCAACAAGAAUGUGAAACUAAGUGAGGUAGAAGAUGCAGAAAAACUUCUCGAAUUUCAUACAAAGCAAUCAGGUUUCCUAGGUACAAGCUUUGACACCAUAAGUGGUACUUAUCACUGCUUUAUUAACAGUUUUCUGAAGUGGUAUCUUCAGUGCCUCUUCUCCUCUCUGUAAUAUUCUUUUCUUUCAAUUUAUUGCUCAUUAAUUUCAAUGAACUUUUAGGCUCCGGUGCAAAUGGUGCUAUCAUACAUUAUAAACCAGAACUAGAAAGUUGCAGUGUUGUGAAUGAAAAUAAACUUUUUCUUGUGGAUAAUGGUGCUCAAUAUGUAGAUUGAACAACUAACAUAAU
Long non-coding RNA from Argentina anserina (silverweed cinquefoil), 771 nucleotides. RefSeq lists it as uncharacterized. NCBI's taxonomy places the organism in Eukaryota, Viridiplantae, Streptophyta, Magnoliopsida, Rosales, Rosaceae. The record is from RefSeq and is a predicted model, not a curated record. The transcript has 3 exons.